RNAcentral lists this ribosomal RNA (1279 nucleotides) under Phytophthora colocasiae. RNAcentral describes it as "eukaryotic LSU rRNA". The stretch from base 442 to 596 matches the Rfam family "5.8S ribosomal RNA". The record is from RNAcentral. Lineage: Eukaryota; Oomycota; Peronosporomycetes; Peronosporales; Peronosporaceae.
UUGCAUAGAUUGCCCGUGGCGCUUUAUGCGGCAGCUGACCUCCUGGGAAGUCAUUAGUCAAGCAGACCUUGUCCCUCGGUUAUCGUUUGUAAGGCUUAACAAAUGUACUGGUCCGACCGAGGUCCACUUCCCCUGAUAGCCGGCUCCAGCAAAUUCCAGCACACUCCCAAGUAAAGGUGAUACGUUCACGGGAAGUUUUCAGGGGGUAACUACCUUCCUUCCUGUAGGGUGACUGCGGAAGGAUUGUUUGCCCCGUUAAAAACUUUCCCGAUGACCGUAUCAACCCUUUUAGUUGGGGGUGUUGCUUGGCAUUUUGCUGAGCCGCGCCCUAUCAUGGCGAAUGUUUGGACUUCGGUCUGGGCUAGUAGCUUUUUGUUUUAAACCCUUUAACAAUACUGAUUAUACUGUGGGGACGAAAGUCUCUGCUUUUAACUAAAUAGCAACUUUCAGCAGUGGAUGUCUAGGCUCGCACAUCGAUGAAAAACGCUGCGAACUGCGAUACGUAAUGCGAAUUGCAGGAUUCAGUGAGUCAUCGAAAUUUUGAACGCAUAUUGCACUUCCGGGUUAAUCCUGGGAGUAUGCCUGUAUCAGUGUCCGUACAUCAAACUUGGCUUUCUUCCUUCCGUGUAAUCGGUGGAGGAUGUGCCAGAUGUGAAGUGUCUUGCGGUUUGUGUGCCUUCAGGCCGAGGCUGCGAGUCCUUUGAAAUGUACUGAACUGUACUUCUCUUUGCUCGAAAAGCGUGGUGAUGCUGGUUGUGGAGGCUGCCUGCGUGGCCAGUCGGCGACCGGUUUGUCUGCUGCGGCGUUUAAUGGAGGAGUGUUCGAUUCGCGGUAUGGUUGGCUUCGGCUGAACAGACGCUUAUUGUAUGCUUUUCCUGCUGUGGCGUGAUGGGCUGGUGAACCGUAUCUGUGUGUGGCUUGGCUUUUGAAUCAGCUUUGCUGUUGCGAAAUAAAGUGGCGGCUUCGGCUGUCGAGUGUCAAUCCAUUUUGGGAACUUUUGUGUGCGCUUUCGAGUGUGCAUCUCCAAUUGGAACCUGAUAUCAAGCAGAAUUACCCGCUGAACCUUAAGCCUAUCAUAAGCGAAGAACGCAGCUAAUAACUAGCCGUGAACGUAUCAUCUUUUAGUGGAGAGUAUGCCUGGACAUUUGCUGACCGGCUAUAGGGCAAAGCUGGACCUCGCCUGACUAAUACUUUGUUUACCCUUAAAUACUGAUUAACUGGGAGGACAAAGCUCUGGCUUUACUAAUUACUCCCAAGUGAAGCUAGCGCCACUAUAGAG